Molecule: ribosomal RNA, 253 nt
Filed under: uncultured bacterium
Lineage: Bacteria
Description: partial 16S ribosomal RNA
Rfam family: Bacterial small subunit ribosomal RNA
Source: RNAcentral
UACGUAGGGAGCAAGCGUUGUUCGGAUUUAUUGGGCGUAAAGGGCUCGUAGGCGGCCAACUAAGUCAUACGUGAAAUCCCUCAGCUUAACUGGGGAACUGCGUGUGAUACUGGAUGGCUUGGAUGUGGGAGAGGGAUGCGGAAUUCCAGGUGUAGCGGUGAAAUGCGUAGAUAUCUGGAGGAACACCGGUGGCGAAGGCGGCAUCCUGGACCAUUAUUGACGCUGAGGAGCGAAAGCCAGGGGAGCAAACGGG